UGGGGAAUUUUCCGCAAUGGGCGAGAGCCUGACGGAGCAAUGCCGCGUGGAGGUGGAAGGCCUACGGGUCGUCAACUUCUUUUCUCGGAGAAGAAACAAUGACGGUAUCUGAGGAAUAAGCAUCGGCUAACUCUGUGCCUG
Molecule: ribosomal RNA, 141 nt
Filed under: uncultured bacterium
Lineage: Bacteria
Description: partial 16S rRNA
Rfam family: Bacterial small subunit ribosomal RNA
Source: RNAcentral